UACGUAGGGUGCAAGCGUUGUCCGGAAUUAUUGGGCGUAAAGAGCUCGUAGGCGGUUUGUUGCGUCGGCUGUGAAAUCCCGAGGCUCAACCUCGGGUCUGCAGUCGAUACGAGCAAACUAGAGUGUUGCAGGGGAGACUGGAAUUCCAGGUGUAGCGGUGAAAUGCGUAGAUAUCUGGAGGAAUACCGGUGGCGAAGGCGGCAUCCUGGACCGACAUUGACGCUGAACGGCGAAAGCUAGGGGAGCAAACGGG
RNAcentral lists this ribosomal RNA (253 nucleotides) under uncultured bacterium. RNAcentral's name for it is "partial 16S ribosomal RNA". It matches the Rfam family "Bacterial small subunit ribosomal RNA", at positions 524 to 776 of the family's 1533-position model. The record is from RNAcentral.